Oncorhynchus keta (chum salmon) is the source of this 1468-nucleotide long non-coding RNA. RefSeq lists it as uncharacterized. The transcript is spliced from 3 exons. Lineage: Eukaryota; Metazoa; Chordata; Actinopteri; Salmoniformes; Salmonidae. The record is from RefSeq and is a predicted model, not a curated record.
CAAAGUCAAUGUGCAGAGGUACGAGGAGUUGAAGUAAUAACGUGGUUUAUAUACAAGGAGUACCGGAACAAAGUCAAUGUGCAGAGGUACGAGGAGUUGAAGUAAUAACGUGGUUUAUAUACAAGGAGUACCGGAACAAAGUCAAUGUGCAGAGGUACGAGGAGUUGAAGUAAUAACGUGGUUUAUAUACAAGGAGUACCGGAACAAAGUCAAUGUGCAGGGGUACGAGGAGUUGAAGUAAUAACGUGGUUUAUAUACAAGGAGUACCGGAACAAAGUCAAUGUGCAGGGGUACGAGGAGUUGAAGUAAUAACGUGGUUUAUAUACAAGGAGUACCGGAACAAAGUCAAUGUGCAGAGGUACGAGGAGUUGAAGUAAUAACGUGGUUUAUAUACAAGGAGUACCGGAACAAAGUCAAUGUGCAGGGGUACGAGGAGUUGAAGUAAUAACGUGGUUUAUAUACAAGGAGUACCGGAACAAAGUCAAUGUGCAGGGGUACGAGGAGUUGAAGUAAUAACGUGGUUUAUAUACAAGGAGUACCGGAACAAAGUCAAUGUGCAGGGGUACGAGGAGUUGAAGUAAUAACGUGGUUUAUAUACAAGGAGUACCGGAACAAAGUCAAUGUGCAGAGGUACGAGGAGUUGAAGUAAUAACGUGGUUUAUAUACAAGGAGUACCGGAACAAAGUCAAUGUGCAGAGGUACGAGGAGUUGAAGUAAUAACGUGGUUUAUAUACAAGGAGUACCGGAACAAAGUCAAUGUGCAGAGGUACGAGGAGUUGAAGUAAUAACGUGGUUUAUAUACAAGGAGUACCGGAACAAAGUCAAUGUGCAGAGGUACGAGGAGUUGAAGUAAUAACGUGGUUUAUAUACAAGGAGUACCGGAACAAAGUCAAUGUGCAGAGGUACGAGGAGUUGAAGUAAUAACGUGGUUUAUAUACAAGGAGUACCGGAACAAAGUCAAUGUGCAGAGGUACGAGGAGUUGAAGUAAUAACGUGGUUUAUAUACAAGGAGUACCGGAACAAAGUCAAUGUGCAGGGGUACGAGGAGUUGAAGUAAUAACGUGGUUUAUAUACAAGGAGUACCGGAACAAAGUCAAUGUGCAGAGGUACGAGGAGUUGAAGUAAUAACGUGGUUUAUAUACAAGGAGUACCGGAACAAAGUCAAUGUGCAGAGGUACGAGGAGUUGAAGUAAUAACGUGGUUUAUAUACAAGGAGUACCGGAACAAAGUCAAUGUGCAGAGGUACGAGGAGUUGAAGUAAUAACGUGGUUUAUAUACAAGGAGUACCGGAACAAAGUCAAUGUGCAGAGGUACGAGGAGUUGAAGUAAUAACGUGGUUUAUAUACAAGGAGUACCGGAACAAAGUCAAUGUGCAGGGGUACGAGGAGUUGAAGUAAUAUGUACAUGUAGGUAAGUGUAAAAGUGACUAGGCAAUCAGGAUAGAUAAUAAACAGAGUGUGUGUGUGUG